This 253-nucleotide ribosomal RNA is filed under the name uncultured soil bacterium. RNAcentral describes it as "partial 16S ribosomal RNA". It matches the Rfam family "Bacterial small subunit ribosomal RNA", at positions 26 to 288 of the family's 1533-position model. The record is from RNAcentral.
AGGACGAACGCUGGCGGCGUGCUUAACACAUGCAAGUCAAGGGGGCCCAGCAAUGGGCAACCGGCGAACGGGUGCGUAACACGUGAGCAACCUACCGAAAUGUGGGGGAUAGCCGGCCUAACGGCCGAGUAAUACCGCAUACGCUCUCGAUGAGGCAUUUCAUCGAGAGGAAACCUACGGGACAUUUCGAGGGGCUCGCGGCCUAUCAGCUAGUUGGAGAGGUAACGGCUCACCAAGGCAACGACGGGUAGCU